GACGAACGCUGGCGGCGUGCUUAACACAUGCAAGUCGAACGGAAAGGCCCUGCUUUUGUGGGGUGCUCGAGUGGCGAUCGGGUGAGUAACACGUGAGUAACCUACUCUUCAUUUUGGGAUAACUUCAGGAAACUGGGGCUAAUACCGGACAGGAGCCCCUGCUCCAUGGAGGGGGUUGGAACGUUUCGGCGGUCGGGGUUGGACUCGCGGCUUAAGAGCUUGUUGGUGGGGUAGUGGCUUACCCACGCUUUGGCGGAUACCCGGCCUGAGAGGGUGGACGGCCACAAUGGGACUAAGGGACGGACCAGACUGGUACAGGGGACAGCAGGGGGGAGUAUUAUACAAUGAGAGGAAGCCGGAUGAAAAGGCGCCGCGGGCGGGAAGACGGCCUUCGGGUUGUAAACCGCAUUCGCCUAAGACGAAGCGGGAGUGACGGUAAUGAGUAAAGAAGCACCGGCUAACUACGUG
Molecule: ribosomal RNA, 468 nt
Filed under: uncultured bacterium
Lineage: Bacteria
Description: partial 16S ribosomal RNA
Rfam family: Bacterial small subunit ribosomal RNA
Source: RNAcentral